CUGUGGUUCGACCCUUCUUCCCUAUCUACAUAGUUAGUGGAUUUAGGUUUUAUUUUUUAUUAGGUGAAUACGACUUGAGCCUGUCAAAUUUUGGCGCCGUUGCCGGGGAA
This is a long non-coding RNA of Chenopodium quinoa (quinoa), 110 nucleotides long. RefSeq lists it as uncharacterized. The transcript is spliced from 3 exons. The record is from RefSeq and is a predicted model, not a curated record. Lineage: Eukaryota; Viridiplantae; Streptophyta; Magnoliopsida; Caryophyllales; Amaranthaceae.